CAGUCGCCGCGGGAACACGGAGGGCGCGAGCGUUACCCGGAUUUACUGGGCGUAAAGGGCGUGUAGGCGGCCUGGGGCGUCCCAUGUGAAAGGCCACGGCUCAACCGUGGAGGAGCGUGGGAUACGCUCAGGCUAGAGGGUGGGAGAGGGUGGUGGAAUUCCCGGAGUAGCGGUGAAAUGCGCAGAUACCGGGAGGAACGCCGAUGGCGAAGGCAGCCACCUGGUCCACUUCUGACGCUGAGGCGCGAAAGCGUGGGGAGCAAACCGGAUUAGAUACCCGAGUAGUCCCUGUCUCUUAUAC
This 301-nucleotide ribosomal RNA is filed under the name uncultured bacterium. RNAcentral's name for it is "partial 16S ribosomal RNA". It matches the Rfam family "Bacterial small subunit ribosomal RNA", at positions 509 to 807 of the family's 1533-position model. The record is from RNAcentral.